UAUUGGACAAUGGGCGAAAGCCUAAUCCAGCCAUGCCGCGGGUGUGAAGAAGGUCUUCGGAUGGUAAACCACUUUAAGUUGGGAGGAAGGGCAGUAAGUUAAUACUUUGCUGUUUUGACUUUACCUACAGAAUAGGCACCGGUUAACUUCUUGCCAGCAGCCGCGGUAAUACGAAGGGUGCAAGCGUUAAUCGGAAUUACUGGGCGUAAAGCGCGCGUAGGUGGUUUGUUAAGUUGGAAGUGAAAGCCCCGGGCUCAACCUGGGAACUGCUUUCAAAACUGGCAAGCUAGAGUAUGGCAGAGGGUGGUGGAAUUUCCUGUGUAGCGGCGAAAUGCGUAGAUAUAGGAAGGAACACCAGUGGCGAAGGCGACUACCUGGACUGAUACUGACACUGAGGUGCGAAAGCGUGGGGAGCAAAC
RNAcentral lists this ribosomal RNA (419 nucleotides) under uncultured bacterium. RNAcentral describes it as "partial 16S ribosomal RNA". It matches the Rfam family "Bacterial small subunit ribosomal RNA", at positions 362 to 773 of the family's 1533-position model. The record is from RNAcentral.